GCAUCUGUAGCCCAGUGGCCGAAGGCAUCGGACUCAUAAUCCGCUUCUCACAGAGACAACGCUGGUUCGAAUCCAGCCAGAUGCA
This is a transfer RNA of Chrysochromulina sp., 85 nucleotides long. It matches the Rfam family "tRNA". From Rfam's summary of the family: Transfer RNA (tRNA) molecules are approximately 80 nucleotides in length. Their secondary structure includes four short double-helical elements and three loops (D, anti-codon, and T loops). The record is from Rfam. NCBI's taxonomy places the organism in Eukaryota, Haptophyta, Prymnesiales, Chrysochromulinaceae.